UUAAAUUCAGGGGGUAGUCUUACUUGAGCUGAGAUCAAAGUUUCAAAAAAGAGUUGUGUAAGAAGGCUCCGAAGACCGGCUUUAAUGCCCAAGCCCCGACAUAGCGCUUGAUGCCCAGAGGACAAUUGCCACGCUAGUGGUUCAAGGACGCCAAUAUCCUUUACCUAUCUGAAUUUAAAGGGACCCAUCGCAUGCGCAAU
This 200-nucleotide unclassified non-coding RNA is filed under the name fungal sp. RNAcentral's name for it is "partial internal transcribed spacer 2". The record is from RNAcentral. Lineage: Eukaryota; Fungi.